GACGAACGCUGGCGGCGUGCUUAACACAUGCAAGCGGAGCGACGAACCAGGCUUCGGCCUGGGGCAAAGCCGCGAACGGGUGAGUAACACGUGGGUAACCUGCCCCGAUGACCGGGACUAACCCGACGGAAACGUACGAGCUAAUACCGGAUGUGUCCUCUCGCAUCAGCGAGACGGGCGAAAGGAAGCUUCGGCCUCCGCAUCGGGAUGGGCCCGCGGCCCAUUAGCUUGUUGGUGAGGUAACGGCUCACCAAGGCUGCGAUGGGUAGCUGGUCUGAGAGGACGAUCAGCCACACUGGGACUGAGACACGGCCCAGACUCCUACGGGAGGCAGCAGUGGGAAUCUUGCGCAAUGGGCGAAAGCCUGACGCAGCGACGCCGCGUGAGGGAUGACGGCCUGGUUGUAAC
RNAcentral lists this ribosomal RNA (408 nucleotides) under uncultured bacterium. RNAcentral's name for it is "bacterial SSU rRNA". It matches the Rfam family "Bacterial small subunit ribosomal RNA", at positions 28 to 429 of the family's 1533-position model. The record is from RNAcentral.